UAUCCUGAAGAUUAUCAUUAUUAUGCUACGGAUUUUUACAUAGAUAUCUGUUGGAACUUGAGCUGAUUCACGUAGUACGAGUCAUGUGAAAGCCGGAACCGUGGAAAGUGAACUAUGAGAGAGUGUGAUCAAUAUUUUUUUUAUUUAUUUCUUUUUAUUCACAAUUUGUACAAUUUGGACAUUUGGUAGAAUUUUUUAACAGUAAUAUUAUCAUGUCGGUGGCUACCCCCAGCGGAGUGCCAUCCUCGCGUUUGCUAGGUUAUAUCCUUUGUGAGGUCUGCUGAGUGUUUCCUUUUUAGUCUUCUUUCCAUGUUUGAGGCGUUGAUCGUCUCCGCAGCUAGCCGGUUUGAGUGUGUUGCUAUUCUUUCUUUGUAUCUUUCCGCAUAACUGCUAAUUACUUGCUUGACCGUUGGUAUUCUCAGGUUCCUCCGUAUGUCCUCGUUUCUAACGUACCAUGGGAUGUUUACUAUCAUUCUAAGAAUUUUAGUUUGCAUUGUCUCUAUUUUGUUUAUACGACUCAUUGCUGCCGUCCCCCAUAGUGGUAUUCCAUUCCAUUCAAAUGCCACAUUUAUUGUAAAUUGCGAUGAACUUGUUGACAUUCUUACAAACAUCGUGGUCCUUUCUCUAUUUCGUUGGUGUCGGAGUCCGUUCGAACUAGUCGACUAAUGACGGAAGUUAUUUAUGUUACAAAGAUAAGAAGCCGAACGCGUCUUUAAAUGACAGAUUUAACGCCAGUAUUACUCAGUUCAUAGAUCACUCGCAAUAUUUAAUUGCAAUAGUGUCUGUGCCGAUCAUUUCUUGCCUGCAAUGUUCAAACCAAAUUCCACAAAAAAUACGAAUAGAAGGAAAAGGUUGAAGAUCAAUGCCGUGCCCGAACCAUCAAAGUAUUUAUUAGAAAAUAAUGAAGAAAAAGAAAAUGUACAAAAAAGGCAGCUCGUGAUUAAAAAAGCAGAUGAUGAGAGAAGAAGAAGGUCAAAACGAAGACAAAUGACAUCAAUACCAUCACUAUCACUGCCAACAACAGCAAGUGAACGUGACGUAGUUUAUUGGUAUAGACGUUCUCUUUUCUUGGUGUCAAAAAUGACAUUGUGUAAAAAGUAAAUUUUAAUAAUUUCACACCACCUUCGUACACAUAUAGUGAGUAACUUUAAUAUUUGGAUAUAACAAAA
Bombus terrestris (buff-tailed bumblebee) is the source of this 1169-nucleotide long non-coding RNA. RefSeq lists it as uncharacterized. The record is from RefSeq and is a predicted model, not a curated record. NCBI's taxonomy places the organism in Eukaryota, Metazoa, Arthropoda, Insecta, Hymenoptera, Apidae. The transcript is spliced from 4 exons.